Molecule: ribosomal RNA, 484 nt
Filed under: uncultured bacterium
Lineage: Bacteria
Description: partial 16S ribosomal RNA
Rfam family: Bacterial small subunit ribosomal RNA
Source: RNAcentral
AUUGAACGCUGGCGGCAGGCCUAACACAUGCAAGUCGAGCGGAUGAAGGGAGCUUGCUCCUGGAUUCAGCGGCGGACGGGUGAGUAAUGCCUAGGAAUCUGCCUGGUAGUGGGGGAUAACGUCCGGAAACGGGCGCUAAUACCGCAUACGUCCUGAGGGAGAAAGUGGGGGAUCUUCGGACCUCACGCUAUCAGAUGAGCCUAGGUCGGAUUAGCUAGUUGGUGGGGUAAAGGCCUACCAAGGCGACGAUCCGUAACUGGUCUGAGAGGAUGAUCAGUCACACUGGAGCUGAGACACGGUCCAGACUCCUACGGGAGGCAGCAGUGGGGAAUAUUAGACAAUGGGCGAAAGCCUGAUCCAGCCAUGCCGCGUGUGUGAAGAAGGUCUUCGGAUUGUAAAGCACUUUAAGUUGGGAGGAAGGGCAGUAAGUUAAUACCUUGCUGUUUUGACGUUACCAACAGAAUAAGCACCGGCUAACUUCGUG